Long non-coding RNA from Gallus gallus (chicken), 5646 nucleotides. RefSeq lists it as uncharacterized. The record is from RefSeq and is a predicted model, not a curated record. The transcript has 3 exons. NCBI's taxonomy places the organism in Eukaryota, Metazoa, Chordata, Aves, Galliformes, Phasianidae.
ACCUUCCCACUGAUAUUCCAUUACAUUUUGUUGCCUUGUGACAAGUGGCAGCAGAGGGGCAGUCCAACAAAACGGUGUCUGACAUGGAAGUAUAUAUGAAAAGAAAGGGAUGGAGUUGAAUUCCUCCCUGGAAAAAUCUGCACCUACUGACAUUCUUUGACAGUUGCUGAACACUUCUGGAGACCAAAUAUUGGCUGUGAGCAUAGAGAAGUGGUGGGUGAUUGAUACUCAAGAGGCAGGAGACAAAUUUGAACCAAUGUUAUCAUUUCCCCAUUUUGAGGGGAAGAACAGAAAGCAAGUGAAGCUGUUUGUAACUGAUACAAAGAAAGCAGACAAAUGUGCAUUUCUACUGCCAGUCAUGCCAGGGGAAGCAAGAACCUCCUCCCUGCCAGCCCACCUCAGCUGCUCAUCAGCACCUAGCAUAGGAAUUUCUGCCUUCCUCGAACUCCCUUCCAUCAAGACAAAUGGCAUGAAGCAGCCCACCUCAUUCUACCUAAACUGGAAGGACUGCUCACUGUCACUGUUCAGAUGACAAAAUCUGGCACAGCUUGGUCAUCAGUCAGAAGCUGUCUUUCUGCAAUCGUAGACCAGAGGUGAUAAUUUUGUGGCAAAAAGAAGAAAGAGGCAAAAGGAGACAAACUGAAGAAGGAAGAGCUUCCCAGAUUUGAAGGCCCUAAGACAAAGCAUCUAUAAAUGCCUGAAGUACAACCAGCUUUAACACACAACCUGCUUUACUAGCAAUUCUGAGUGCUUUGAAAUUCAUGGCCUGGUCUCACAUUUUUCUUCAGGAUUGAUGUUCCAAGGCACACUACAACAAGUGGCCGCAGAAACAAAACUCUGUUGAGUACAGUAGCCUCAAGUUGCACCAGGGUGAGUUUAGGUUGGAUAUCUGGAAAAACUUCUUUACAGAAAGGGUUGUUAAGCACUGGAAUAGGCUCCUCAGGGAGGUGGUUGAGUCACCAUCCUUGGAUGUGUUUAAAAACAGUUUGGAUGUGGUGCUCAGGGACAUGAUUUAGCAGAAGGUUGUUAGGGUAGAAUGGUUAGGUUGUGGCUGGACUCAAUGAUCUUUAACGUCUUUUCCAACCUUAGCAAUUCUAUGAUUCUAUGAUUCCCAUGUUUUUCACCAACUCAUCUCCAAAAAUACUUAGACCAAAGGCAGUGCCACAUAUUUAUCAAAUGAGACCUCAUAAAACCCUGUGUUGUGCUUGCCCAUUGCUUCCAUCAAGAAACCAUUUGAACUUUUCAUAGGUUCUCAAAUAUUACAGUGUGAAACUAGUACUAGGUCUAGUAAAAACAAAUCCUUUCCUCCCUAAACUUUAAUCCUUCAAGAAGGACUUUUCUGUCUUCUUGGGAGCUCUACCAGCUAAUUUCCUUGAGACUUUAAUGUAUUAGAAGACUUAGUGUCUUCUGUUUUGCUCCUAUAAGAGCACUGGGUUGUUCAUCUUAUGUGAACAUUCAAAAAAAAAAAAGAAAAUCAACAUAUUAAAUGCAUUCUAGACAGUUCACAAAGUCCUCUCUAAAAAAGCCAUCUCUACUUCUCAGUUUUCUCUACUGAAUUCAACACCUAUAGUUUUACUUAAAACAACUUACCAUUUAAAUAUAGUUCUAACACCACAAGCAGUGAUGGUCUUCUAUCAUGAAUAUAGUGCUCUCUCUUCAGUUAGCAAGAACUCCCACCAAGACCUCUGUACUUUCUUUUAGUAUGUAUUUCAGAACAGAGAAAUCAAAGUAAAUGCCUUUCAAAAUGAGGUCAUGCAUAGUUCCAAAAUUGUUUCCAUAGCAGAUUUCCUUUUUCAAAUAAAAAUAGAAGAACAGAAUUUAUUUUACUGCAAAAAAUAUUCUCUGUUCGUUCUUUUCUUAGACAGAAGAGGUAGAAAUUUUGUUUAUCCAAACUUCUGAAAACAGAUAUCUGGCUGCACAGAGAGAGCCAAAUGUUGGAAAAAGAUCAGUUCAGAUGAAAGAAAGGAAGUCAUGGAUUAUUUGAGGAAAGGAGAAGGGAAGGGGAAAAAGAAAAAACCAACCACAACUGGUCCUGGCAAGGCCUCACGGUUUUAGUUAUCAUUCAACAGGUUGCAUCACCAGAGGCACACAGUAGAAAGCUCUGCACAGAUCUAGAGCUCCCACUUCAGCCUCCAAGUGCUUUAUUUCAGGCAUAACACACUAACUCAAUUUUACAGUGUGCUUUGACUUGUAAGAUAAAAAAUAAUUUAUGAAUAUGAGGACAAUGUGAUAUACUUCAACAGAAAGCCUGCUAUCUCACAGCUCUGAUUUAUUAACUUCGCAGGAAAAGGAGAACAGUUACUACAGCUGUAAUAGGUCUUCUGUUUGCUUUUCAAAGUUCACCACCCUAGAAUACCAUUAAUAAAUUAGGGAGGUGGGAACUUUCAGUGACCAUAACAAAGCCUAAACAAGAACUGUAUUACUAAAAAAAUACAGCAGACCUCACCUCAAUACAUACAACUAACACACUAAGUAGAGGUGGUAACACUCUCUCAGUUUCCCUCUUGAAGUAGUUUAUUUUGUACUGUUGAAAGACAUCUAUAUGACCCUGUCAAACUGAUUGGGAAAACCAUCCUCAGUAAGACAGCCUUCUGAAAGAUCUCAAAAUAAUUCGACAUACUGCCAGCUACAGUCUGUACUGUUCAGCUUUUCAUAUCCAGCCAACAUCAUUCCUAUAAUUAUCCUUAACACACUGUACUGCAGUAGCUAUUCCAGUGGCAUAGAGGCAUAUGAUGUAUGAUUUUUGGUCACUUUUAUACUGGAGUAAGCUGUUUGUAGAAAACAAGAACUUUUAUAUUUUUUUUAAUCUCCAUGCAACACAGCUCCACCCAAGAGGAACAAUUGUGCCACUGCUUUUCCAAUUAUGUUCUUCAGCAGACAUGCUUGAAAUCUUAGUCACUGGAAGAAAUCAUUUCAGGUUGAGAUCCCAUUUUGCCCAACAAACAGCUUACAAGAACUAAAUUGGGAUAUAAAAUUCAGUCCUAAGAUUCUUCUGAAAAUGGCGAUAAGUAGACAGUCUACUAAAACUGCUGGAGACAUUUCGUUGAAUAAGAGUAACCCGUAACAUAAGCCUGCUACAAAUUUCAUGUAAUUUAUUGUGGAUCAGAGGAUUUGAAUGGAAAACUACUUGGAGUAGCCACACACCCUCCAGUUCCUGGUUUCCUAGCUGUCGUGAUUCAAUUACACUAGGAUGCUGCAUCUUUCACAGUCUCAGGCACUUCUUUUAAAGGCAGUGAAGAUGCUUGAAAAUGAAAGAGAAAAGAAGCCAAAGAAAAAGCUGCUAUUUACUUGAUCUGGAAUAGCCCUGUGGUAACUCUAUGUCCAGGUUCUUCUCCACCAGUUACGUGAAAAGGAUAGCAUUUGACAGUCUCAUGGAACUAUUCCUACAAUCUUGUUCAGGUGGCAGACUAUGUCCUAACCACUCCAGUUCAACCAUGCCCCUCAAGUGUUUUGGUGAUGUUUACUUGUCAGUUUCACCAGAUAUCUGCCUGGGGUACAUUACUGCUCUUGCUACUGGGAAUGAUGUAUAUGCACCCAAUUUCUGAAAUGACAGCCUGUUUCCUCUCAUCCUGCCUUCAAGGAAUAUAGAUGGCACUUUACUUCUCUCUUUGCAAAGGCCUUGUAUCCCUAAACAUUUUAAUUCCUCUCCUCCGUCUCAUUUUUAUUAGAGAAGAGGAAUGCUCAACCUUCUCUUGGAAGUCAUUUUUACUAUCUGGUCAGUUACUCACUUUGUGCUCUUUUAGCUCCUCAGUUAAUCAGCAAAUUCCUUACAUGCACCAUUUCUUUGAAAACUAUGGCUCCUGUGAGGCCUCCUGUGAGCUUAUUGAAGACUGCAAGUCAGCAGUUAUUUAGCACUAGGUGUGUACGUGCCACUUAUCUUUCAGCUACAUUAGAUAUAGGCGAAGCUAUCUUUAGGUAAGUAAACAGCCUAUAUUUCAGCUCACAUAAGGUUGAAAAAACUUUUAAAAUAUUUUCUGUCCCCUAUUCCUUUCAUGUACUACUUUAAUCCCCACUCCGUGAAGACAAACAAACAAACAAAAAAGCUCUGCAACCUGUAAAAAUAUGCUAAAGAUUUCAGGAGAAUUUGUGUUUCCCCGCCAGUUUUGUGUAACAAAAGAUUUUUGCCUAACUUAAUUGUCUUUUACCAAAAAUGUUGGAAUUAAUGGGAUGCAUUUAAUUGUCAGUGAAAUAGUUUGUAUGUGCAGCAUGCAACACUGACAAACUGCAGUACCAAACUGAUUACAGCAUCAGCUCUGCUGUCUGCAUUAUGUGAAAUCUCUAUACAGCGUCACAGUCAAAGCCAGUAAGCAAUACAAAUUCUAAACUACAAAAGGACCUAGGUUGAACCUUGCUGCUAGUGUCUUGAAACAGAUCUUGCCACUUGUGCAGACUUUGUUUUUACUUUUUUUAAAUGAGUGUAGUAUGUAGGCUCUUGUUCAUUGCUUGCACAGGUAUACAGCUAACAGUGAUGACUAUGAUGAAAACAGCAUUUUGUAGAGCAAAUUCUGAGCUAUCGAAUGGCGUUCUCGUGGGGUUUUUUUGUAUCUGUUGUAGUUCCCAUGGAAAUAAAUAGGAGGCAUUACUUUCAGAGUGACCUAUGUAAUAAUUAUCAAAUAAGUGCUGUAAAAUAGUAAAGUUAACGGCAUUGCACAUUGAGCAGUUAGACUAAGAAGUGGGAGCAGCAAUUGUAAAAAUAAUUAAACCUGUUCUGCUUCUAACUCUUUAUGCUAUUAAAAGCCACUUGCAAUUUUAGACCUCUACAGAAUAAUGAAAAACUAAAGAUGCAUUAUUCAAACAAGUGAAAAUGUUUUACUGUGUAUUCUCUUAGCAGCACUUGGAGGUAUUAGCUCCUACUUCAAGUAGGAAGAAAAAAACACUAGUAUAUAUGUUUUUUGAGAUUAAUCAAACUUCAGUCACUAGUCAGGUUAUAUCUUGGUCAGACCAGUGUCUGACCACUCUAAAAGCCACCACUCACUUUGAAAGACAGGUAAGCAUGUUACAGUUAAAGGGGCAAGCACAAGAUACUUGAGGAAUCAAACAUUCUGCCUUGAGGGGCUCUGUUAGUAUUAUAUGGAAUCCAGGGAUCAGGUGAAGGAGAAGAAAUAAGAAUGGUAUUAUUUGACCUUGACCUAGAUGAGAACAGCAAUUUAGGAGAUUAUAGUAUAGACAAAAUGCACAGCUAGUGGCAACAAAGCAUUUUAGCAAAGAUUAUUACCAGACCAGGAAAAGCAUUUCCAUUCAAAGCACCUAUGUGAGUUAGAUGGUCUCCUUUCAGUGUUUUCCUUGAUGAUUUUAAGGGAAGGACAUAUGAAGCAUUCUGACAAAAAUUAUGAAAAAAAUGACACAGAUGACACCAAGAUGAAGAAACAGUAAAAUACUCAGAAGGGCAAUGUCAAUGUGAUUUUGAUAAAUUGGACAAGUGGUACAAGAAGAUGAAAGAUGGCAAAGACCAAAGUGAUUGAUUUCUCACUGCUGUAUCUAGCACUCAUCUGCAAAACAAGAACCACAAACUCCAAGGACUGAAUGAAGAUUUGAGUCUACUGGAACUAAACAGGAGUCACUAACUACUGCAAAUGAAGUUGCGUAGAUUUUCUCUAUCUAUGACAAGUAAGGGCUUCUAUUCCAUUCUACUCAACAACAAAGAAA